RNAcentral lists this ribosomal RNA (292 nucleotides) under uncultured bacterium. RNAcentral describes it as "partial 16S ribosomal RNA". It matches the Rfam family "Bacterial small subunit ribosomal RNA", at positions 505 to 796 of the family's 1533-position model. The record is from RNAcentral.
GUGUCAGCCGCCGCGGUAAUACGAAGGGGGCUAGCGUUGUUCGGAAUCACUGGGCGUAAAGCGCACGUAGGCGGACUUUCAAGUCAGGGGUGAAAUCCCGGGGCUCAACCUCGGAACUGCCUUUGAUACUGUUGGUCUUGAGUCCGGAAGAGGUGGGUGGAAUUCCUAGUGUAGAGGUGAAAUUCGUAGAUAUUAGGAAGAACACCGGUGGCGAAGGCGGCCCACUGGUCCGGUACUGACGCUGAGGUGCGAAAGCGUGGGGAGCAAACAGGAUUAGAUACCCUAGUAGUCC